UACGGGGGGGGCAAGCGUUGUUCGGAAUUACUGGGCGUAAAGGGCUCGUAGGCGGCUAACUAAGUCAGACGUGAAAUCCCUCGGCUUAACCGGGGAACUGCGUCCGAUACUGGAUGGCUUGAAUCCGGGAGAGGGAUGUGGAAUUCCAGGUGUAGCGGUGAAAUGCGUAGAUAUCUGGAGGAACACCGGUGGCGAAGGCGGCAUCCUGGACCGGUAUUGACGCUGAGGCGCGAAAGCCAGGGGAGCAAACGGG
Molecule: ribosomal RNA, 253 nt
Filed under: uncultured bacterium
Lineage: Bacteria
Description: partial 16S ribosomal RNA
Rfam family: Bacterial small subunit ribosomal RNA
Source: RNAcentral